Molecule: ribosomal RNA, 497 nt
Filed under: uncultured bacterium
Lineage: Bacteria
Description: partial 16S ribosomal RNA
Rfam family: Bacterial small subunit ribosomal RNA
Source: RNAcentral
GCUGAACGCUGGCGGCGUGCCUAAUACAUGCAAGUCGAGCGAACGGACGAGAAGCUUGCUUCUCUGAUGUUAGCGGCGGACGGGUGAGUAACACGUGGAUAACCUACCUAUAAGACUGGGUUAACUUCGGGAAACCGGAGCUAAUACCGGAUAAUAUUUUGAACCGCAUGGUUCAAAAGUGAAAGACGGUCUUGCUGUCACUUAUAGAUGGAUCCGCGCUGCAUUAGCUAGUUGGUAAGGUAACGGCUUACCAAGGCAACGAUGCAUAGCCGACCUGAGAGGGUGAUCGGCCACACUGGAACUGAGACACGGUCCAGACUCCUACGGGAGGCAGCAGUAGGGAAUCUUCCGCAAUGGGCGAAAGCCUGACGGAGCAACGCCGCGUGAGUGAUGAAGGUCUUCGGAUCGUAAAACUCUGUUAUUAGGGAAGAACAUAUGUGUAAGUAACUGUGCACAUCUUGACGGUACCUAAUCAGAAAGCCACGGCUAACUACGUG